This 559-nucleotide ribosomal RNA is filed under the name Salmonella enterica subsp. enterica serovar Infantis. RNAcentral's name for it is "partial 23S ribosomal RNA". It matches the Rfam family "Bacterial large subunit ribosomal RNA", at positions 630 to 1190 of the family's 2925-position model. Lineage: Bacteria; Pseudomonadati; Pseudomonadota; Gammaproteobacteria; Enterobacterales; Enterobacteriaceae. RNAcentral also lists the same sequence under 1 other name. The record is from RNAcentral.
AUAUUCUGUAGCAAGGUUAACCGAAUAGGGGAGCCGGAGGGAAACCGAGUCUUAACCGGGCGUUAAGUUGCAGGGUAUAGACCCGAAACCCGGUGAUCUAGCCAUGGGCAGGUUGAAGGUUGGGUAACACUAACUGGAGGACCGAACCGACUAAUGUUGAAAAAUUAGCGGAUGACCUGUGGCUGGGGGUGAAAGGCCAAUCAAACCGGGAGAUAGCUGGUUCUCCCCGAAAGCUAUUUAGGUAGCGCCUCGUGAAUUCAUCUCCGGGGGUAGAGCACUGUUUCGGCUAGGGGGCCAUCCCGGCUUACCAACCCGAUGCAAACUGCGAAUACCGGAGAAUGUUAUCACGGGAGACACACGGCGGGUGCUAACGUCCGUCGUGAAGAGGGAAACAACCCAGACCGCCAGCUAAGGUCCCAAAGUCAUGGUUAAGUGGGAAACGAUGUGGGAAGGCCCAGACAGCCAGGAUGUUGGCUUAGAAGCAGCCAUCAUUUAAAGAAAGCGUAAUAGCUCACUGGUCGAGUCGGCCUGCGCGGAAGAUGUAACGGGGCUAAACCAU